RNAcentral lists this long non-coding RNA (2016 nucleotides) under Salmo salar (Atlantic salmon). RNAcentral's name for it is "lncRNA (ENSSSAG00000105853.1)". The record is from RNAcentral. Lineage: Eukaryota; Metazoa; Chordata; Actinopteri; Salmoniformes; Salmonidae.
CCAGAACCCGAUGGGUUGGGCCAGAGACAGAACACACGUGGGUCAAGCGGCGUCUUGAAAAUGUGUCUUUGAUACUCUGCUUGGUUAGAGACGAUUUAAAUCACUGACUUUGUUUUGAACAACACCCCUCAUUUUGACGUCACCACAAACGACUUCAAUGAUGGCAGUCUCAGACAGAAGUGAGGGCCUUGGAUUCCAGCUGAAUCACGCGCUGCGGCGCCCCCUGGCAGCUCUAAUGGGCUGCUCUCGCCUGGAGUUGGAUGGUGGCCAUUUUGUUAUCAAAAGCUACGGCUGGGCAGAUGACUCCUUAAUUAUCGGAGAAUCAAAGUGGACAGAGCCGCCGCUGACAUUCAAAAGCAUGGCAAGUGGUGGCCUGCCAUUCAUCUGGCCUCAGUGCAACACAAACCAGAUGGACACGGCCCGUCACCAAGUGACAUCUCCAGAAAGCCACGUCCCCCUGCCAGUCCUCCCACACCAGAGCCAGAGGAAGAUGAAAGGUACGGCCAUGGGGAGACCGGUUGUGCCAAACAGCGCCAGAUCUGAUCUGAUGAACAACUGCACAGGGAAGGAAUCAAAGUGGCUGGAGGACCUGGUGUAUUAGUUGAACAGAAGCUGUUGGAAGAUCGACUGCAAUAGGCUGUAAGAGGAGAGAGGCUGGGGAAUGCAGGGGAUAUUACUACUGUAGCUAAAUAGACCAAAAAUAAGAAGUUAUCAAUUUCUUCACUAUAGUGUGUUGAUUAGCUGGGUCUUAUAUAGUCAUAUAAUAGGUCAUAUAGUGUAUAAUUUCAUUCUUAUUAAUACUAGGCCUAUUUUGUUAAUCGUUUUUAAUUACCUUUUGUUGAAUGUAUAUCACUAAUAUGUACAUUAAGUGUGUUUGUGAACCAUAUACUGUAUGCAUAUAUGUGCAUUAUACUGUAUGUCUGUGAGUAAAGGUAAAAUGGAGGCACUUAGGAUAUUGAGAUCCACUUGUGUUAGAGGAACAUGCCAGCUCCUCCUUACUUGGAUUUUACAUUUGGUACGACUUCCUCCUGGAGAAGCUGUGGGACUCUGAUACUCUAAUCGCAGCACGCCAGAGUUUGCUCAAUGUCACCUACCAGUGAGCUGCAACCAGGCGCCCAUUGCGCCCAUCCGGCCGCUUGCACCACAAUGACACUGUGUGUGUUGGUUGGUGCCUGCCGUUGCUAGGCUACAGUCGGAGGAAUCAAAUUCAGGUGGCUUCCACAGCUGUGCUGUAACGUUGCGCACCACGGGCCAUCUGUGGCCGCGCUCCCAGCAUGCACCUGGACACGAUAGGUCAGGAAGAGAUGGCCCACCAUGCCAACCCAUAGGAUCACGUUCCUUGUGGUACAGUCAGAGACAGUAACAAUUACUUUAAAGCUACCAUCUGGGAUUUCAUUUUCAGCAAAAUGCCCCCACCGAUUGUUUUGGUAUGCAGCUGAGCUGAGGGAUCUUUGUAUGUUUUAUAAAAUUGUUUAGUGUUGAUAUUUCAUGAUUUGAACUCACCAGUUUUUUGUUGCAAUUCAGCAUUGAGUUGUAAAGAACAAUAUUUUUUAAAUAUAUGAAUUGCAAUCAUUUAAAACAAAUUAUCAAUUAAAUGGCUGUGCAGAACAUUUUUCAGGGGGUGGGAAUUGAGAUCUCUGAAGUGCUGCAAUCUUAAAGCACACACACACACAAACACCCCUCUGUGUGAACGCUCAUCUUAACCAGGAAAUGAUUGAGAUAAUGCUGACCGUUCCUUGAGAUCUUGCCUAAAGGCACGUUACCCCUCAAUGCAUGAGCGCUUCUCACAGUCAUAAGUUUUCUCUCAUUUGUUGUGAAUAGAUCAGCCACCAACAAAGGCAUCGUUAGAAGGGGGUUAGGCCCCACCAGGCUUCUGCUAAUUAUGAAUGGGGUCUCGGUAAUAAUUCAAGGGCCCUUGGUGCAGCUGGACGUGGAAGAGGAGCUCACAAAUCCAGAGCUUCCAUGCUCUGCCCAUCUGCCUCGGUUUCCAACCACCUGCCUAACAUUCUGACCCAC